RNAcentral lists this long non-coding RNA (686 nucleotides) under Fukomys damarensis (Damara mole-rat). RNAcentral's name for it is "lncRNA (ENSFDAG00000030708.1)". Lineage: Eukaryota; Metazoa; Chordata; Mammalia; Rodentia; Bathyergidae. The record is from RNAcentral.
GUCCAUGCCAAGAAUUUCAGGGAGGAAAGGGCGGCAGAGACACAAACAUUGAGGAAUUCUCAGCCAUUUCAGGAAGCGACUCAGACAGCUCCAGAGAAGAGGCUGGGAGAGGGAAGACUGAUUUCAGGGCAGUCACCACCCUCUGCCCCACUCUUGUGCCGUCCCCAACCCCCUCUUGGCGUGGCCAGAGCCAGGGCCAGAGCCCAGUCUCGGGUUGGGGACAGUGGGACAAGCCAUGGGAAAAACAAUCAAACCUUGGCCAGCCGGAUAAUUAGCUGCUCCUCUGUGACCGUGGCCUCCUUGUCCUCUCCGCCUCACUGCCACCCCCUUCCCACCCCUGCAGGACAAAGGUUUCUCAAUGGACGCCCCGGUAACACCAGCUCAUUAAUGUUAAUGGGAGAGCCGGACAUGAGCCUGGAUGGCCAUAAAUUGCACUGCGGAAGAAAAGAGCCAUAAACUUUGGCUAGAAUCAUCUCCAGACCACAAAGCCGGGCCCCAACAAUAGCUCCAGGAGAAACAGUUCUUGUCCGCUGCUGGAUUGUUUCCCUGCUGGAUUGUUUCCCUUCGGUGGGGCCCAUCUGCAGACUGCAUGGAGUCAGCACCAUCCCUCGUCCAGCAGCCAUCGGUCCAGACUGGGCCGAGGAAGCCGGCAAGCAACAGACCCGCUUGUGUCAACACACUCGGCC